UUGGGUUCUACCGCCACCUCGCCCCAGGAUGACGGGUUGGGUUCUACCACCACAACGCCGGAAUAUGGGUCGGGUUCUACCGCCACCUCGCCCCAGGAUGACGGGUCGGGUUCUAUCGCCACCUCGCCCCAGGAUGACUGGUCGGGUUCUACCACCACAACGCCGGAUGAUGGGUCUGGUUCUGUAAACAGCACUGAGAGUCCUUCUGAAUAUGUUUCGGAUGUGGUGUAGUUAUGUGCUGUCAAACGUUGUUUAACCAAAUAA
Cyprinus carpio (common carp) is the source of this 264-nucleotide long non-coding RNA. RefSeq lists it as uncharacterized. The record is from RefSeq and is a predicted model, not a curated record. The transcript has 2 exons. Lineage: Eukaryota; Metazoa; Chordata; Actinopteri; Cypriniformes; Cyprinidae.